UUUGGCCGCCCCUCCCCUCUCUCUUCCACUCUUGCAGCCGCCCCAAUCCCUCUCCUUCUUCCCCAUGUGAUUGCAGCGCCACCCCUCAACCCUAGCCCCCCCCCCCACCUCUUCCUCUCCAAGGUGGAGCCUCCCCGCUUGGUGUCCGUCGUGUGGGUGCGAGUCUUCCAUGGGAGUUUGGAGGGAGGAAGAAGGAAGAAAAGAAGGAGGAAAGGAGGAACCCAAGGUGAUUUUCGUGAUCAUUUUGUUGUAUUUGUGCUGCAAUCCAAUUGGUUACAUGUUUAUCUAUGCGAUUUGGUAGAGGUGCUGUCCAGAAAUUUAGUGGGUGGACGAACAGCAGUAGUUCUAGUGAUUUCUGGGAAUUUUUCGUGGGCAAUUAGUAGGGAUCAGUGGGAGAAUCAUGUAGAGCUUUGUCAUACCUUUCCAACGAGUACUUAUGCGCUCGAUUUGGAGUUAUAAUUUAGGAGAUAUCGUUGUUUGAAUUCGGUUAUGUUGCUGUCCAAAAAAACAGAUUUUUCAGGUGGGUGAACAGCAGUAGUAUUAGCAGUUUCUGUGAAUUUUUCGUGGGUAAUUAGUGUUAACCAGUAUGAUAAUCAUGUAGGGCUUUGUCUUAUCUUUCCAAUAAGUACUUAUGUGCUUGAUUUGGAAUUAUAUUUUAAAAGAUAUCGCUGUUUGAAUCCGGGUAUGUCGCUGUCCAAAAGACAAAAAAAAAACAGAUUACAGGGUUCAUCUUGUGGACUGUUUUGGCUAAUUAGAUGUUGGAAUUUAAUUAUAAAUUGUAUACAAAACUUGUGGGGAAUUUCAUGUAGAUGCCUCUAGAGUUUUUGUUUGUUACCACUGCUGUCAUAAUUUUAAAGUUAUGAAAUUAUUAAGCAGCGCCGCUGCAGUUUGGUGGGUGUGGGGAGAGAUGUAACCCGCGGCGGGGUUUGAGUUUGUGCGUAGGUGCGGCGUCGUUUAUGGGCCUGAUUAUGUGAAAUUGGUGCACUAAGUUGUGUGUCAAAAACAGGUGGUGGACUUCCGGAUCGUACUUAGGGAUUUGCCCGAACUUCCGGUAAAGGCAAGUAAAUACAGUGGUGGUUGCUACCGUUUGGGUUGCAUCCUAUUCCCUGACAUUGAGUAUGCAUAAGUUUUAAUUAUGUUAAUCAUUGAAUUCUAUGAUGAAGUUUAUUUGUUUGGAAGUAUUAAUUCUCAAUUGUCUAAUAUUGUGGAUGAUCAUAAUUUGGUAAUGAUAUAUGUGGUUGAUUCCCAUCUUGGAUGAAGUUGAAGUAUUUUUUUGGAUCACGUUAUAUGAAGUGUUGUAGGCAUGACAUGCUCAUCGCAUCAUCCAUCUUGCAUUUUGAAGUUAUGUCGUGAUCUUAUGGUCCGACCGUACCGGUACAUUUUUAGCAUCGUACGUUGCCCGAGGAGGGGUACGAUGCGGCUUCAUAUCCUUAGAGGUAUGAAGGCAGAAGUCAUCCUUGCAUUUGCAGACAUUUGCACUCAUGAGGUAUAUAUGAAGUGUGACAUUACUAUGUUACUAUUGUGGUUUCUACCUGCGAGGUGUGGUGACUAGGUGUGUUGUACGUUGUAUACGUGCUGCACCUUCGUAAUAAGAAGGUUGUGGAAUCAAGUGGUGGUAAACAAUGUUCUUAUGUGGUUAAACAGUUUGAUAUUAUUUUACUUGCUGAGAUGUGUCAUCUCACUCUUGCAUUACUCAAUGCAGGUACUUGAUACAUGUUGGGAAUGAGGGGAGUAGCAGCACGUCCACUUUCACUCUCACAAUAACGCUGCCCAGGCACAGCCAUGAUUUAAUUAGAAACUUGUUGUCAAAGGAAGUUUGUUUUUUUUAACUAGUCGUGCGCACUAGUUAAUUCACUUCAUGUCGUAUGUUUAACUUAUCGUUGCUAGCCGAUUAAUAAUACUUAGUAUGUUUUUGUCAUGAUAUAUGUUUAUACACUGUUGCCCCCUCAUUUAUGCAAUUUUGCAAGGGGGAUGCUGCCGAAAUUUUAUAUAUAGAUGUCAGAAGUGAUGUUUAGUAGCAUUCCAGGGUGUUGGUGGACCCCGGGGUGUUACACAACUCCAUAUACAACUAGUCCACUUUAGCCAAACGGGACAUUUGCUGAGUACAUUGCUGUGUACUCACCCUUGCUUUACACACCACCCCCACCCUAGGUUGUCCCCAGUGCACCCAAUGCUCAAGAGGUGAUGCUGGCAACAUGGAUGACUUCGAGGAGUUCCAGGAAUAUGACGAGUUCUAGUUCUUUCUUAGUGGCAAACCCCCAGUUAGCUGCCUGUGCAGGCUUAGCAUCUACGUUUCGUAUUUCUGCACUUUGAUAAUUACGUUAAAGACAAUGGUUAUGUAAUAGACUCUAU
RNAcentral lists this long non-coding RNA (2352 nucleotides) under Zea mays. RNAcentral describes it as "long non-coding RNA (ZMAY_LNC005360)". Lineage: Eukaryota; Viridiplantae; Streptophyta; Magnoliopsida; Poales; Poaceae. The record is from RNAcentral.